RNAcentral lists this long non-coding RNA (778 nucleotides) under Carica papaya (papaya). RNAcentral describes it as "long non-coding RNA (CPAP_LNC008387)". The record is from RNAcentral. Lineage: Eukaryota; Viridiplantae; Streptophyta; Magnoliopsida; Brassicales; Caricaceae.
UAUGCACAACGGGAAAACAUAUAAGUGAAAAAUGAAAAAGAAAAAUCACCAAGAAGCAAGUAGCAUUCAAAAUUUUGAGCUUUUCAUCAGUGUAUUCAAACAUACGAAUCAAGGGAGGCAACAACAAGAAUUCUUUUAUUUUUUUCUUCCCAAGAGAAACAAAGCAAGAACAUGUAUCAUAAACUUGUUUCUUUUAAUAAACCUAUAGCCUCACAAUACAUCUAAUGAUGUAAAAAAAAAAAGAACCAUCAAUAUAUAUGCUUCAUCCCUUAUGGAAUCUGUGAGGAGCUGUGAUACCUAAACAUUUGGUUACUUCAUGAAGCCACUUCAUGGAAAGAUUAUAGUAAUUUACAAAGGGGAAGAAACAACAAUAUCUGGCUGAACUAGAGGUAUCACAAAGAGUAUUCCGUGCAUUCCAAAAACCAAACCACAAAAAUAAUAAAUCUGGUCAUGAAGCUUCAGCAUUGUUUGCAAUUUUAUAGCAUGCAUGUAUAAUGCAUCUUCUGCUAGGGAAGUCAUCUGAAAGCUCCAAUUUCAAAGUAAACUGCAGCAACUAACUUGAAGCUAAUAAAAAUCAUGAACCUUCCCAACUGUUUGUUACUCUACUUCAGUGAAGUAUAUUUUAUGUAUAGAAGCAAACAAUCCGAAGGCAUAACAGCAAAUAAUUUCUCAGGAAAAUGGGGUAAAAAAGUUAAAAUCUUGGCCUGCAAACUAAAAGUCAUGUAAUGAGAUGUGAUGAAAGAACUAUGAAACAGACACAUACUGCACUCCCCCCCCC